UACGUAGGGUGCGAGCGUUAAUCGGAAUUACUGGGCGUGAAGCGUGCGCAGGCGGUUUUGUAAGCCAGAUGUGAAAGCCCCGGGCUUAACCUGGGAAUGGCAUUUGGGACUGCAAGGCUUGAGUGCGGCAGAGGAGACUGGAAUUCCUGGUGUAGCAGUGAAAUGCGUAGAUAUCAGGAGGAAUACCGAUGGCGAAGGCAGGUCUCUGGGCUGACACUGACGCUCAUGCACGAAAGCGUGGGGAGCAAACGGG
This 253-nucleotide ribosomal RNA is filed under the name uncultured bacterium. Its description in RNAcentral is "partial 16S ribosomal RNA". It matches the Rfam family "Bacterial small subunit ribosomal RNA", at positions 524 to 776 of the family's 1533-position model. The record is from RNAcentral.